ACGAACGCUGGCGGCAGGCUUAACCCAUGCAAGUCGAGCGAGACCUUCGGGUCUAGCGGCGGACGGGUGAGUAACGCGUGGGAACGUGCCCUUCUCUACGGAAUAGCCCCGGGAAACUGGGAGUAAUACCGUAUACGCCCUUUGGGGGAAAGAUUUAUCGGAGAAGGAUCGGCCCGCGUUGGAUUAGGUAGUUGGUGGGGUAAUGGCCCACCAAGCCGACGAUCCAUAGCUGGUUUGAGAGGAUGAUCAGCCACACUGGGACUGAGACACGGCCCAGACUCCUACGGGAGGCAGCAGUGGGGAAUCUUAGACAAUGGGGGCAACCCUGAUCUAGCCAUGCCGCGUGAGUGAUGAAGGCCUUAGGGUUGUAAAGCUCUUUCAGCUGGGAAGAUAAUGACGGUACCAGCAGAAGAAGCCCCGGCUAACUCCGUG
Molecule: ribosomal RNA, 432 nt
Filed under: uncultured bacterium
Lineage: Bacteria
Description: partial 16S ribosomal RNA
Rfam family: Bacterial small subunit ribosomal RNA
Source: RNAcentral